This 132-nucleotide ribosomal RNA is filed under the name uncultured eukaryote. RNAcentral describes it as "partial 18S ribosomal RNA". It matches the Rfam family "Eukaryotic small subunit ribosomal RNA", at positions 1299 to 1446 of the family's 1831-position model. The record is from RNAcentral.
UGGUGGAGUGAUUUGUCUGGUUAAUUCCGUUAACGAACGAGACCACGACCUGCUAAAUAGUUUGGCGAAUUCCAUCGUGGAUUUGUACAUAACUUCUUAGAGGGACUAUCGGUUGCAAGCCGGUGAAAAAUA